GGAAUGUUCAUCUCUGUACAACAAAAAAUUUGUAAUUGGAACUUCAGCUUUCUUUCCAAGAACCCCUGAGAAUGUUAACUACCACACUUUUCCAUCAACCUGUACUUUUCCAUUAAAUUCUACAAAACCCUUUGCUACCCUUUCUUCUUCUUUUACAGUGAAGUGUUAUGGUCAGAAUUAUGGGGAUGAAGAACCUCUUUCUGCUUCUCUGGCAUAUGAUGUUCUUGGUGUUGCUCCGAAUUGCUCUACAGAUGAGCUGAAAUCUGCUUUCAGGAAUAAGGUUAAGAAGUUUCAUCCUGAUGUAUGGAGAGAUGGGAAUGGUUCGGAUAAAAUGAUUCGCCGAGUCAUUCAAGCCUAUGAGAAGUUGUCCAACUUCACAAAGUCAGAGAUAAUUGAAAGGGAAUGCUUAGAUCCGUUUGAUCAGCCAGAAGGUGAAGCAUUUGAUCUCUUUGUUAAUGAGACUGUUUGUAUUGGAAAAGGUUGCCCAUUUUCAUGCGUUAAGAAAGCACGUCAUGCAUUCACUUUUUCCUCGUUGACAGGAACUGCACAAGCAACUUCUCAAGGACAUGGUGAAGAUUACCAAGUCCAUCUUGCAGCUGGACAAUGCCCCAGGAGUUGCAUACAUUAUGUUACACCUUCUCAAAGAAUAGUUCUUGAAGAGCUACUUGGCAGCAUCAUGAGCACACCUUAUGAUACAUCAGCAGAAGCAGACUUGCUUUAUUCACUAAUUGUAAAAGCUCGUUUUGAGAACAAUCGCUACCAGAAGCCCAAGAAGCAACCUAAGGCCUCAACCGAACAUGUAGACUGGUUCUAAAUCUUGAAAGUCCUCAUAGAAAACCACCUUGUUUUGUGUAGACUCGGAAUAUGAAUAGAGACUGCCACUUCAAAGGCUAUGCAAUGCUGAAGUUUAUCACAUGAACGAUGGGGGAAAUUUGAUUUGAGUUGACUGUCAACCUUAUGCUAUGUUAUCGAAGUCCUAAAUGGUCUUCACUCAGCAGCAGCAUAAUGAAAUGCUGGGCACAAGUGUUGGGAAAAGCAGCUGCAACUGACUGUCUGAAUAUCUGGUAAUAUGAGAUUGAUGUAAAUAUUUACUUAUCUUAUUUUUUAUGUUGGAUUAUGUUGUUUUACGCCCCACAAAAUGAUAGAUUAAAACUCCAUGUCUGUAUGAAAAUUGAAAUGAUACAGUUGAAGCAAA
This 1195-nucleotide unclassified non-coding RNA is filed under the name Hevea brasiliensis (rubber tree). Lineage: Eukaryota; Viridiplantae; Streptophyta; Magnoliopsida; Malpighiales; Euphorbiaceae. The record is from RNAcentral.